Molecule: long non-coding RNA, 1678 nt
Filed under: Homo sapiens (human)
Lineage: Eukaryota; Metazoa; Chordata; Mammalia; Primates; Hominidae
Description: HSALNT0258133
Source: RNAcentral
UUGGCCCGGCCCUUCCUGUGAACCUGGCACAGAAGCCACCUCCUCUCUGAAGCCUUCCUGGCUUGCCCCAGCAGCCACCAGACCUCCUGGGGGCCCCCACCAUGAAGCAGAGGCCUUUGAACCUCGCCUGCCCCAGCCAUAACCACUUGCUGGCACAACCCAAUCCCUGAGGGUUUCUUUCCCCCACGCCAGAGCUGGAGUUGGUACAGAGAGAGCAAGAGUCAAAGCACAACUGCUCAGUCUCCCCCUCACGGCUGAUGAACAUGAGUCAAAGCCGGAGGAGGCAACAGAAUUCAGAGACAAACCUCAACUUAGAGGACACUGAUGCGGAAGAACCCAGCGGCUUCCAGGGCUUACUCUGUUAAAGCGCCCGUGUCCCUACUACUAGGUCCAAGGUAUUUCUGCAUAUUGGUGUCCUCUCCAAAGGUCAAGGAGCAAGCGGUUAGGGAAAUCAGUAAGUCCUCAAAGGAGUACUGGGAGAAAUUAGCAUGGGGGCCGGACACACAGUUCAGAGAGUGGGGACAGCCAGCCAUGUGGCGAUGGGUCAUCCCUGCCUUGGGACUUUUGUUUUCUUUUCUUUUUGUUUUGUUUUGAGACAGGGUCUCGCUCUGUCACCCAGGCUGGAGUGUAGUGGUAUGAUCACAGCUCACUGCAGCCUCGACCUCCUGGGCUCAAGCGAUCCUCCCAAGUAGCUGGGACUACAGGUGUGCACCACCAUGCCUGGCUAACUUUUUAAUUUUUGGAAAGCUUGGGUCUUGCUCUUGCCCAGGCUGGCUUCAAGCCAUCCUCCCACCUCAGCUUCCCAAAAUGUUGGCAGUACAGCCUUUUCUUUCUUUUUUAAAUCAAGGUAAAACCUACACCCAGUAAAGUGCACAGAUCUUAAGUGUGCACCUCAGUGAGAUUUUGCACAAACACGUAAGUGUGUAAGGCACCAUCCAGAUCUCCAGCAGUCCCAGAAGUCUCCCUCUAGCCCGUCCCCAUGGUACCUGCCUCCAAAGGUUACUUGGUGUUCUGAUUUCUAUCACAAGUUUUUCCUGGUGUUUUGUUUUGUUUUGUUUUAUUUUGUUUAGAGACAAGGUCUUGUCACCCAGGCUGGAGUGCAGUGGUGCAGUCUCGGCUCAUUGUAGCCUCCCAGGCUCAAGCGAUCCUCCCUACUCCUCCUGAGUAGCUGGGACUACAGGCAUGUGCUACCAUGCCUGGCUAACUUUUUUUCUAAAGAUGAGAUUUCAGUUUGUUGUCCAGGCUGGUCUCAAACUUCUGGCCUCAAGUGAUCCUUCUGCCUUGGCCUCCCAAAGUGCUGGGAUUACAGAUGUGCACCACCAUGCCUGGUCCUGUUUUUUUUGUUGUUGUUGUUUUUUGUUUUGUUUGUUUUUUUUUUUUUGAGAUGAAGUUUCACUCUCGUUGCCAAGGCUGGAGUGCAAUGGCGCUAUCUUAGCUCAUCACAACCUCCGCCUCCCAAGUUCAAGUGAUUCUCCUGCCUCAGCCUCCUGAGUCCACACCUGGCUAAUUUUGUAUUUUUAGUAGAGACUGGAUUUCUCCAUGUUGGUCAGGCUGGUCUUGAACUCCCGACCUCAGGUGCUCCACCUGCCUCAGCCUCCCAAAGUUCUGGGAUUACAGGCAUGAGCCACCGCGCCCGGCAACCUGGCCCUGUUUUUAAAAAACGUCAUAUAAAUAGAAU